UACGUAGGGUGCAAGCGUUAAUCGGAAUUACUGGGCGUAAAGCGUGCGCAGGCGGUUUUGUAAGUCUGCUCGUGAAGCCCCGGGCUCAACCUGGGAAUUGCGAUGGAGACUGCAAGGCUUGAAUCUGGCAGAGGGGGGGUAGAAUUCCACGUGUAGCAGUGAAAUGCGUAGAGAUGUGGAGGAACACCGAUGGCGAAGGCACCCCCUGGGUCAAGAUUGACGCGCUCAUGCACGAAGGCUAGGGUAGCGAACGGG
This 255-nucleotide ribosomal RNA is filed under the name uncultured bacterium. RNAcentral describes it as "partial 16S ribosomal RNA". It matches the Rfam family "Bacterial small subunit ribosomal RNA", at positions 524 to 776 of the family's 1533-position model. The record is from RNAcentral.